Molecule: non-coding RNA, 255 nt
Organism: Penaeus vannamei (Pacific white shrimp)
Lineage: Eukaryota; Metazoa; Arthropoda; Malacostraca; Decapoda; Penaeidae
Source: RefSeq, a predicted model, not a curated record
UUCGAAGAUGAAGUUGGACACGUCUUUCGCGCAUGGUGUGGGGGUCUUUCUCAAUUUCAUCCUCUUUUCGAGGUCAAGGAACUCUUCCCGUGUAAUGCCAUGUCUGUGACACACAAUGUGAGCAAUUUCUGUGAGUGGGUGACCCGCCGGGCAUCUUGACCCGGGAUGAAGCAAGAGGGCAGCCAGCGCCUCAGCCUCCCCGCCUCCCCACCGGUGCCUGGCCUUCAGCUCUCUCGUGCAACUUUUUCUCCCCAG